RNAcentral lists this long non-coding RNA (2181 nucleotides) under Strigops habroptila (Kakapo). RNAcentral's name for it is "lncRNA (ENSSHBG00005017657.1)". Lineage: Eukaryota; Metazoa; Chordata; Aves; Psittaciformes; Psittacidae. The record is from RNAcentral.
GCUUCCUCCUCCGCGGCACCUGCGGCCUCCGCGGCGCUCCCGCACACCGGCUCGGCUCGGCUCGGCUCGGCGCGGCGCGGCGCGGUGAGUGGCGCUGCGGCGGGGCGGUGCGGAGCGGUGCCGUGCCGUGCCGUGCCGUGCCGUGCCGUGCCGUGCCGUGACCCUUUCUCCCGGCCUUCCUUCCGCGGGGCGGAGGGCGGUGUGACUCCGCUGACAGCCCUGGCACCGGGCUCAGCGGUGUGCGGCAGCCCCGGCGGGAGGGAACUUUGGCGGCGGCGUAAGGGGCGCGGGAUGGGGGGGCAGCUGCUUUGUUUCGCCUGCUUCCCUAAAACGCGUCCGUCCGCGCCCCGCCGCGGAGAGGGGGCGUUGCGGACCCCCGUGCUGGGCGGCACAGCAAGGCGUGCCGACAUCCGCGUAGCGGGAUGGUUUUGUGCACAGAAGCGUUUUUUCCGUUGGGUGUCCCCCCGCCCGCCGCCCCACGCGCAGAUGCCGGCGUGCCUGUGGUGUUUUUCCUCCCUCCGUAGCAGAACUUAACUUAAAAAGAAGCAGGCGCAGCUCUUAUGGAAGAAAUUCACUACUUCUGUAUUCUCUGAUCAGGGAUGGUGGUUAAUUAGUAAUUGUACAAAAUGAUACGCUGAAGCCGUGUAAUUACAAGCUUAACCUUUUAUUCUAAGGAGCAGAAUUGGUAGUUUUGUUCCACAUUUGUAGCGUUUUGAACAUCCAAUUGUGUCUUGGUGAAAUAAAGAAAGAAAAGAAGGGUUGGUCAAAUGCAAAUUUGGUUUUGUUCGCAGCACGCUUAGCAUUUACAAUUGAGGUUUAGUGAUCUGCCUUUUUUUUUUUUUCAUUUAUUUUCAUAGGCUUGCUUCAUGUGGGAAUGGGAAGGUGUCUGCAGGGAUUUGUGUUUUGUGUAGUAAGUUGUAGUGUCACUUUGUUCAUACACACAAGGAUACAAACCAGAAUAGAUCUAUACAGGAGAACUGGAAUAAAAUUGUGGGUUUCUGUUGUCAACAUACAUGCUUAAGAGAAUAGCAGUCCUGCUAUGCUAGCGAUAAAGUAGGAGCAAAAUACCUGGGAAAGUCUAAGGUUUAGGAACGAUACCAAAUUUUGUAGAGAGUGUGAGCUGGCCUUCGUAAGUCCUUUUGUCAUCAGUCUGGGAAAUGCAUUAACAUUUGAUUUGUUUCCAUGUGUGACCCUCCUUGGGUCUCCUUGGGUUUUUGACAUGUCUGUUCUGAGUUGAACUUCGUCAGCUGUCAGGAAGUCAGGAAACCACAGACAAAAGGUGGAUGAACAAGUGACCAACCUCAGGGAGCACAGAGGGGGAAUAUGAAGGGGAAGCUGGCAUUGCCUUCUCAGUUAAACAAGUUCCUAUGCUGAAGAGCGAUCUCAAAGGAUGUUUCGCUCCUCUAGUGCUCUCAACCAGUCUCUGUCCAUCUUCUAUUAUUAUUUGCAUUAAUAUGUAUUUGUAGUAAUGUUAUUAAAUAUGCACUGUAAGUAUAUAUGAUGUGCAGAGUACACAGCUAAUGUUUCCAAAACCACUUAGGCAUUAUGCAGGAGUAGUUUCUAACCAGGCUGGCUGAGACACCAGAGAAAAGCAUUUGUAACAGUGGCUUCUUCUGUUGUACUGGGCACUUGGAUUCAGUGGACUUUCACUAGACUUGAAGGUUUGUGGCAGAUUUCUCAUUUGUGAUAACAGGACAUGCCAUCUUUUUGAGGAUAUUCUAUAGAACAAUCUGUGCACAAAAAAGUGUAAAAUUUCAAGUGGUAUAUAGUAUUAAAUAUUACGCAUAAUAGUUUUGUUAGUGCUAAUUGUUCUUGGAAAAGUCUCCAAGUCUCUGUCCUAUUUUCUGACUCAUAGCUGGUGAAUAUUCUUGAAUGUCCAUUGAUGUUCCCUUGAGAAAAGAUGGAAAAGAUUGCCAAGAAGCUAAGUGAACCAGUUAAGCAUUGCCUUUGCCUUAAAAAAUGACCAAAGUAACAAGAAAUGGCAUCGUUACUACCUUUCCUUUGGGGAAUUGUGGUGGAUAUUUGUCCCCCUGAGACUUUCCAACAUCAAUUCGCAUGAGAAUGCAUUUGGACUUAUAGGUUUGCAUCCUUUGAGAUUAUUAAUUUACCCUGUUGGUUAUAGAGUGUAAGGUCAACAUACAAGAGAAAAUAAAGAAUAUAAAGGGCUUUCUGAAGUACACA